CCUACGGGAGGCAGCAGUGGGGGAUAUUGCACAAUGGGGGAAACCCUGAUGCAGCGACGCCGCGUGGGUGAAGAAGCGCCUCGGCGCGUAAAGCCCUGUCAGCAGGGAAGAAAAUGACGGUACCUGAAGAAGAAGCACCGGCUAACUACGUGCCAGCCGCCGCGGUAAUACGUAGGGGGCAAGCGUUAUCCGGAUUUACUGGGUGUAAAGGGGGCGCAGACGGCGAUGCAAGCCAGGAGUGAAAGCCCGGGGCCCAACCCCGGGACUGCUCUUGGAACUGGGUGGCUAGAGUGCAGGAGGGGCACGCGGAAUUCCUGGUGUAGCGGUGAAAUGCGUAGAUAUCAGGAGGAACACCGGUGGCGAAGGCGGCCUGCUGGACUGCAACUGACGUUGAGGCCCAAAAGCGUGGGGAGCAAACAGGAUUAGAUACCCUUGUAGUC
RNAcentral lists this ribosomal RNA (440 nucleotides) under uncultured bacterium. RNAcentral describes it as "partial 16S ribosomal RNA". It matches the Rfam family "Bacterial small subunit ribosomal RNA", at positions 338 to 795 of the family's 1533-position model. The record is from RNAcentral.